CAGACACUGACACAAGUGGGAAGGAGCUGACUGGAUCGCCCCAAAUAUUUAACCAGGACACAGCAGCCGCGCCGGUCAUCCACUGGAGGAGAUGCAGCGGUGGAUGUUAUGGAGCUCAUUGACAAUCGUGGUACUGAUGGGAGCCAUGUGUUAUGGCCAGAGAAGCAAUCGCUGCCUUCUCAAACGAAGUCAAACCUGCUCUGAUUGCAUGAGAGUGGACAAAGACUGCUCCUAUUGUGCUGAUGAGGGCAUUAAUUACCCAAGAUGCGAUCUGCACAUCAAUCUGCAAUCAAAAUGCAAAAACAUUAUGAGGCUUCAGAGCUCAAUGAAAAUC
This is a non-coding RNA of Chiloscyllium plagiosum (whitespotted bambooshark), 334 nucleotides long. NCBI's taxonomy places the organism in Eukaryota, Metazoa, Chordata, Chondrichthyes, Orectolobiformes, Hemiscylliidae. The record is from RefSeq and is a predicted model, not a curated record.